UUAUAUUGGAGGGCAAGUCUGGUGCCAGCAGCCGCGGUAAUUCCAGCUCCAAUAGCGUAUAUUAAAGUUGUUGCGGUUAAAAAGCUCGUAGUUGGAUCUCAGCUCACGCUAAGUGGUCCACUUAAUGGUGGUUACUACUUAGCUGAGCAUUUUACAGAUUUGUCUCUUGAUGCUCUUCACCGAGUGUCAAGAGUGGUCUGUACGUUUACUUUGAAAAAAUUAGAGUGCUUAAAGCAGGCAACUCGCCCGAAUAAUCUUGCAUGGAAUAAUGGAAUAGGACCUUGGUUCUAUUUUGUUGGUCUCCGGAAUCUGAGGUAAUGAUUAAGAGGGACAGACGGGGGCAUUCGUAUUGCGCCGCUAGAGGUGAAAUUCUUGGACCGGCGCAAGACGAACUACAGCGAAAGCAUUGCCAAGAAUGUUUUCAUUAAUCAAGAACGAAAGUUAGAGGUUCGAAGGCGAUCAGAUACCGCCCUAGUUCUAACCAUAAACGAUGCCAACA
This 499-nucleotide ribosomal RNA is filed under the name Quadraseta brasiliensis. RNAcentral describes it as "SSU rRNA". It matches the Rfam family "Eukaryotic small subunit ribosomal RNA", at positions 539 to 1047 of the family's 1831-position model. The record is from RNAcentral. Lineage: Eukaryota; Metazoa; Arthropoda; Arachnida; Trombidiformes; Trombiculidae.